Cinara cedri is the source of this 3653-nucleotide non-coding RNA. The record is from the annotation of a GenBank genome assembly. Lineage: Eukaryota; Metazoa; Arthropoda; Insecta; Hemiptera; Aphididae.
CCACUGUCCAAAGCCCGUGUGACCCUCGGCUCGUCUGUGCGCGCGACAGCGGCACAACAGAAAAAAACCAACGGCAAAAAGGGUGCGACGGUGACCGCGAUCAUCCACGUCGUGAACGACGGACGGUAGAAGUCGGGCGGGGCGAGGAGUGGACGACGGCCGGCUAGACGGUGGCGGCGGUUAAUGACUUCCGAUAAGCUCGCCGCGCAAUUAUGUAUUGGUAAAACACUUAAAAAGAAACUUAACUUUUGUAGAUAGCCUUUUUAUAGAGUUAGUUCUUCUGAAAAUGUUGACGUGACAAAUGCUUAUUUUCAUUAAAUUUAUGAUGUUUUAAUAAUUUUUUAAAAAGUUUAGAGAAGAAGUGUCUACGGUCAAUUAGAUAUGAUAAUAUCGACCAAUUGCCAAUUACACCCUGCUAUUACAAGCCUGAAGUAUGAUAAUAAUAGGCACUUUUCUCUGUACUUUAAAAAACUAUUAAAAAUCACGAACAAAAUGGUGAUCUUUAAAUUUUUCAAAAAUAAUAAAAUAGAAAGUUAUUUCUUGAAGUUUUUUAUCGACAAAACUUAAAAAUGUAAUUUAAGUAUAAAUAACCGUAUCCCUUAUCCCUGCAAAUAAUAUAUAUAUAUGUAAAAAAAAUAAAUAGAAUUUGAUUAUAUUUAUGGCAUUAUGAUAUCGUAAUGACACCUCUCGCAACCCCUAGACGCGGCCCGAGGUAGUCCCACGAAGAUAUACCUCUUGAAUAUCUCCGGAAUUAAUAAGAAAAUUCAAAUUCUGAUUUUUUCACAUUAUUCACAGGGAUGAGAACUGCGAACAAUUAAAGUUUUAAGAUAGCCAUUCUGUAGAGUUUAUUUUUCUGAAAAUCGAUGUUAUCUAUGGAACGACCGACCGAGUUACGUGUUAACAUCGGUUUUCACACGGAUUAGUAGAAUGUUAAACGGCUGUUACUUAGAAACUAUUCAUCGGAUAUAAACGUGUGAUACAUUAAAUUGUCCAGAAAAAUAAACUCUACACGCUAGCUAUAUUAUCAUUUUUGGAAAAUAAUAAAAUAAAGUUAUUUAAUAUUUAAUAAUGUCAGUUUUGGUCGUGUAAUAAUAAUAAGACUGGUUAAAGAUUCAAUAUCAAAACAAACAAAAAACACUUGAUCGUUUCAUUGAAAACCGGUCCAAUGUGUGUUAGGUACUUAACGAAAAACGAGCCACCACCUGUGUCUGCUAAACAAACACAUACCACGCAAAGUAUACAUACACCUGGUCUACCUACCUAUGUUUAUAUUUGGUUUAGACCAUUAAAGAUACUUAGUUUAUGAGGAUAAUACAUUAAUUCGUUAAAAUAAUUUAAAUUAAUAUUUACCGUGACCGGUAAAAAGCAGAGGUAACGAUUUUAGACGUGUUUUCAAAUACACGUGUACAUUAAGUCCGUGAAUUUGACAUAAACACAUCGACACAUUAUAAUAUUCUCUCGAAUUCGGCCCAUGCACCCGUGCUAUCACUAUUGGAUCCCAAAAAAGAUAACAUUUUCAUAUUCUAUUAAAUUAGUUUAAAGUCAAUUUAAUUUUGUAUAUUUUAAUAUUUACAUUAUAAAUGUAACAGUCAAAAGUUUUCAAAUAAAUAACAAAACUAACAGAAAUCAAAAGUAUUUUUGAUUAGUAGAAAAAUACAAUUAAAAGUUUAGAUUUAAGUUAAAGUUCAAAAGAAGUAGUGAGAUAGCAAGCAGAAUUAAUCGUAGAAGAGACACGAAGGGGUAUUGAUAAUUUAACCAACGUACACGCAAAAUGAAAAUUUAAUUGAAUAUACUUAUAUACAAUUAAAGUAGGUAAGUACCUACCUAUUGCUUUUGUAUUGAUUUACAACAAAAAAAAUAAAUACCUACGUUAUUAUUUUAUAUUAAAAAUGAAUUUUGAAUCGUAUUUAUUUUAUAAAUAAGUUUUAUGAAAUAAUUUAGAUACUUUCUUAUUAUCGAACUUAUUAAAAAAUAAAAAAAAAUAAUAGUAUUUAUCUGAAAGUCGAGGAUGUCUUAUACUUAAAUUAUUGUGCACUUUAUAAUAGUUGCUGCUAUCUAUACGAAAAUUCUGUAACUAACAAGUACUAUAUUGUUCAAAAUAAAUUCAUCCAGAGCGUGUUACGUUAUAGCAUUAGAAUUUUUAAAGAUCAAUGACAGAUAAUUAUUUUAUAAUUUACGUAAAUUAACAACCUAUAGUCAAAACUAUAGUUACAAAAUAUUUAUAAUUAUUUGUUUUUUUUUUAUUGAGUAACUAUUGUUAUUAAUUGUUGGCAUGUUAUUUUCGGUUAGGUAAUAAAUUAUUUAAAUAUCGUUAUUUAGAAAAAAAGAUAGAAGAAGCACAAAAUGUACGAUCAUAAAAAACAAAUAUGGUGCGAAUUUAUCUACUAUAGUUUAGUUAAGGAGUCUAAAGGGUUGUAACAGUCUCCUCAUAAAACGUGUUUAUAUAUGCAGCACACAGAAUGAAUACUAUUUAAUAAUUGGAGUUUUAACUUUGUUUCAGGUUAUUUAAUCUACUCUUGAAAGACCGUUUUUCUCCAUUGAACGUGAAAAUGUUAUAGGAGGAGUGCAAAGCCAGGAAAUAACUUCAAUGUGUUAGCCGCAGAUAUUAUAAAUUUGAAAAAGAACUGAUAAGGCAGAUCGAUGUGCCACUGUUGUAACUUGUAAGUUGGGAAUAGUUGGAUAUAUACAAUUAUUUUAUUUAUACCUGUGACCAACGAUAAACCAUUGUUAACGAAAAACGGUUUAGAACUAAGUUUGGUCAUAAAUGUUUUGAGAGAUAGUAAUAUUUACGAUUUCGUUAAAAUUUGAUAUUCAAAUUCUAAAAAAAUAACAAAAAUAAAAAUAUUCAUCACACUAAAUAUUUUUUUUCGGUCACUAAGUACAACUCGUAAUGAACUUCCUGUUCAAUUUUUAAGCGUUUCUGUUUAAUCUAACAAUUUUAUCCACAGAGUGUAUACCAAAUAAAAAUUACGUAAAUAACUCGUAAAAAUUAAAGUGCCUAUAAAUAACUUAAAUAUUUUGAAAAUUUUACGUCCAGAUAAAAUAAAUUUAAUUUUUGUGUCAACAUUUAAAAUCUCUACGAAUAUUUUUAACUGAAUUACAAAAAAAAAAAAAAAAAAUUUGAAAAAAAUAAAAGUAUCAUAUACAUAAAUUUUGCAGUUCUUCAAUCUAAAAAUGACUUUCUCACUCACUAACUAAAUUAAAAGUGCAAUAAAAAAGAUUUCUUGUCGUUUUUUAUUUAUAUUUCUGAUAGAAAAUAUAGGGUGUAAAUAUUUUAAAUAAUGAAAUCGUACGUUAUAAAUUUAUUUAUUUCUCAUUUUUCGUUUUUUUUCAGUUUUUACAAUUAUUGUAAAAAGUGAAAACCCCUUGGAAAAUCAAAAAUUGACCUCCUCAAUGCACUAACUAUUAUGAAAUUUCCUUUCAGAAAAGGUGCUACACAUUGGAGCAAGAUUUUUGGUAAAAAAGUUUAUCACAGACAAAAAAAUACAAAAAAAACAUACAUCAUAGUAAAACCAAUAAAGCCCUCAUUAUGCUUUGAAUCUAAAAGGAGUUAUUCAUAAAAAUGAUGAUAUAAUACCUCCCGUUGCCUUUAAUCCUCUCAAGGGGAUUCAUCUGUCAGAGAGAUGAAUAUUCUAUGCAAUGUAAAAGCUGUG